Molecule: ribosomal RNA, 134 nt
Filed under: Arabidopsis thaliana (thale cress)
Lineage: Eukaryota; Viridiplantae; Streptophyta; Magnoliopsida; Brassicales; Brassicaceae
Source: RNAcentral
GGAUGCGAUCAUACCAGCACUAAUGCACCGGAUCCCAUCAGAACUCCGCAGUUAAGCGAGCUUGGGCGAGAGUAGUACUAGGAUGGGUGAUCUCCCGGGAAGUCCUCGUGUUGCAUCCCUCUUUUAUGUUAACC